CCCCGGGACAGCGGAGGCGGGGCUUGAGGGCUGGGCCCGAGGCCACCGGGUUGGGAUUUCGGGCAGCCCUUGUGGCUGCCUGACCCUGGAAGUGGGCUGACGGCUGCGGCGCCGGGCGGCGGCAAAAUCUCAGAUCCUGCUGGUGGCAGCGGUGGUGGUGGUAGCGGUGGCAGCGGCUGCUGGAGCAGCAGCAGCAGCAGCGAUGUUUCACUUCUUCCGAAAGCUUCCAGAAUCGAAAAAGCCCUCUGUUCCAGAGACAGAAGCAGAUGGAUUUGUCCUCUUAGGCUUAUGUUUUGAAUGGUUGGUCUCCAGCUGAUUGCACUGUUUUG
Long non-coding RNA from Nannospalax galili (Upper Galilee mountains blind mole rat), 329 nucleotides. RefSeq lists it as uncharacterized. The transcript is spliced from 3 exons. The record is from RefSeq and is a predicted model, not a curated record. Lineage: Eukaryota; Metazoa; Chordata; Mammalia; Rodentia; Spalacidae.